GAAGGCUUCAAAUCCCCCGAGGAGUUGCUGAAGGCUUCGCGGGUUC
Molecule: transfer RNA, 46 nt
Filed under: Lingulaulax polyedra
Lineage: Eukaryota; Dinophyceae; Gonyaulacales; Lingulodiniaceae
Description: Lingulodinium polyedra partial Selenocysteine transfer RNA
Source: RNAcentral